AAACCCUGUGUGUGUGUGUGUGUUUAAAUCUUUCUUCCCAUUCCAUUCUUUUGACUUAAUUUCACACAGUUAAUAUCUGCUCUCCUAUUUCCACUCCUCUUAAAGGCAUCCCUACCCUGUCGUUCAAGCUCCUCAGCAGCCCCCACUCUGGUCACGCAGGGUGAGACACCUCCUGAAUUUCUCUGGAACUGAUGCCCUCUUCCUCUUGCGAGUCCCUUUCUCCGUCAGCCUGGCUUGUGAGCUUUUCAUUGUUCAGAUCCCAUUUUCUCUUCUUGGGUCAGUAGUGACAGCUCCAGGCCUGUUUGCUUUUGUAGUUCUCAUGUCAUGGUCAUAGUCUUCUUACUCAAGCUGGCACAAGUGUGGCUCCUAGUCUCUUUCUGAUCCACAGCAGCUGGUUUAAAGCCUGCAUAUGAAGUUUGAUAGUGAGACUUUAGUGCGGACGGUUCCUCUGAGACCCAGUAGAUUUUCCUGGCCUGCUGAAUCGGGGUGAUCAGUCUUGAUUUCAUGUUCCAGCCUGGACUGACUGUCGUUCGUACCAGAAGUUGGAGCUUUCCACCUCCGCCACCAUAUUGAAUCAGGAGCCGACUCCUAAAGUUUCUCAGCCUGGGGUUCUGUGCACUGAUGGCGCCUGUGUGCUGCAGGCCUGCGGAUCCUCAUCCUCGGUGAUGACGCCCUUCUACCAGAGCUUGAUGGACAGGAUGGUUUGCUCCAGUGUCUCAGAAAAGUGGUCCCUACAGGCUCCAGCUGUAUGCAGAGGGCCAUUCCGGAACCCUGUUGCUGGGUGGGGUUGUGGCUUUGACUCCAGCCCUAAGGCAUACAUAAGGAGCUGGCCCCUUUGUGGGCCCCUGCUGCAAACCCCCUGCUAGGCCUUUCUUCAUUCCAAGGGCCUGUCCAGCUGGUGGUCCAGAGGCAGUCUGGUUCCUGCCUCAGCUGCUGAGCAAGCGAGAUUACAGAAGCAGAAACUAGCAGGCUGCAGCUACGACCCGAGAUAAGACGGAAACAGAAACAUCUAAGGAAGGAGUUGCUGCUCCAUCACAGACGGCCCUGCUCACGCUCUGCCCUCUGCUUCCCGCCCUUGCCUCAGCGGUUGGACAGGGAAGAACGGGGAGGAAACCUCGUUCCUCCAUACAAACGACUGGCUGAUUUGGGGGCACCAGCCGCUCCUGGGCACCUCUGCCCGCCAAUGGCGAGGACGCACUGUGUUCGGGGGUGCUGCUAUGUGCCUGGACUUCACGUGCGGAGGUGUGGCUGAGCAGCCCCAGGGGGAGGACAAAGCCCCCGGAAGAUUUACUCCAUCUCCUAGGGAAGCGACCUCUGGGGCCACACAGGGCCACCCGAGGAGCCCAGGCUGGGUCAGGAGGCAGGGCAGCAAGGCGGAGAGAGGCUAGAUCAGAGCCUUCCUUGAGGCUUUGGGGGGAAGGUGGCAGGCAGGGGCAACAGGCUAGGCUUCCCAGUUGAGUGGUUCCAGAGGGCUCUGGGCUGUCUCUAGCUGCCUGGCACCUGAGCCUGGGGUGAUUUUGUGCAGGAGAAAUCCUGACUAGGGGUGUGAGAGCCUUUGAAGGAGGCUUGGUUUGGCUGAUUGGUGCAUAAAGAAUGUACCCCGGCCUCUCAGCAUCACCAGCUGCUGUGUGUGCGCGGAGGACCCAGCUAGCUCGCAAUAAACACCUCUU
Marmota flaviventris (yellow-bellied marmot) is the source of this 1670-nucleotide non-coding RNA. Lineage: Eukaryota; Metazoa; Chordata; Mammalia; Rodentia; Sciuridae. The record is from RefSeq and is a predicted model, not a curated record.